GAGGAAAGUCCGGGCUUCACAGGGCAGGAUGCCGGAUAACGUCCGGUGGAGGUGACUCCAAGGCCAGUGCAACAGAAAUAAACCGCCGGGAUUCUCCCGGUAAGGGUGGAAAGGCAGUGUAAGAGACUACCGCCCUGCUGGUAACAGCAGGGGCACAUGUAAACCCCAUCCGAAGCAAGACCGGAUAGAAGCAGUGUGGCGGCCCGUCACGCUUCAGGUUGGUCGCUCGAGCACAGCGGUGACGCUGUGCCUAGAUAGAUGAUUGUCCAACGACAUAACCCGGCUUAUCGUCCUGCUUAA
Molecule: RNase P RNA, 300 nt
Filed under: uncultured Mediterraneibacter sp.
Lineage: Bacteria; Bacillati; Bacillota; Clostridia; Lachnospirales; Lachnospiraceae
Description: Bacterial RNase P class A
Rfam family: Bacterial RNase P class A
About the family: Ribonuclease P (RNase P) is a ubiquitous endoribonuclease, found in archaea, bacteria and eukarya as well as chloroplasts and mitochondria. Its best characterised activity is the generation of mature 5'-ends of tRNAs by cleaving the 5'-leader elements of precursor-tRNAs. Cellular RNase Ps are ribonucleoproteins.
Source: RNAcentral